RNAcentral lists this long non-coding RNA (544 nucleotides) under Homo sapiens (human). Its description in RNAcentral is "HSALNT0313146". The record is from RNAcentral. Lineage: Eukaryota; Metazoa; Chordata; Mammalia; Primates; Hominidae.
AGAAAGCGGAUUUAGCUUGGCAUGUGAAGCUGCCGAAUGAAAACAUUUCAAGUAUGCAACCUAGACUUGUUUUUUCCCCCCUGAAAAGGACUAAUAUGGAAAUCUCAGCUCAUAGAGACCCCUCCGGAAGUUCUUCACAUUACUGAGCGGUAUUUAUACCCCAGCAGGACUUGCUUGAAUACAAGGAACGCCAUCUAAUGAAAAUCCCAUGCCGCAGGCUGAGCUGGAGGGAGCAUCGUGAGUGGCUCAGACCCAGGCCUUCAAGGCAAGGGACAGACACCGUCUUACUUGGUUUGCGGUGGAAUAUCUGGAAAAAGCAUUGGUUACAUUUUUUGUAACCCUUGGCUAAUGAGUCCCAGUCAGUGGAGGCUGAGCUAAACACCACACAGGCAGCAGACCAUCAGCUCGCUUCUCAUGAAUGCAAAGAAGAUGUCAUGGAAUCAGGUCUUAUCUUUUCAUGUAACCUGGCAGCUAAUUUCUCCCUUAAUUAGUUGUAACACCGUUUAUGCAAAACAAAGGAUUUUCUUAUUUCCUUAAACAAAAA